CCUCUGAAUCCUUAAGGACAAACACAAUAAUAGCAGUUAAGGGCACCAAGGGAGGGAGUGGGUCAGCCAUCUUCCCUCACCAUUCAUCUUAGUGAGCUGAAAGGUUCACAUCGGUACAAAUUCGAAGGCAGAUGACUGACAGCACUACUUCCACGUGGCAAAAAGUCUGCAAAUAAACUGUGGAGCAGGUGUUCAGUGGAAUUAAGUGAUUCACGGUAAUUUACAGCGGCAGAAGCAUCAAUUUGAGAAUUGCUAAAGUCUGCUGCUGAUCUUCCAGAAAGGCAACCAGUCUUCAAAUGGGGAAUUCACUAUUGAUCUUGAAGUGAACUAUAUACCUUAUUUUUGAACUGCAUUUAUCUUCUUCUACUUUCCAAAAGAUGGGGGAAAAUGACAGAAGAUAUUCUUGCACUCCAAAAAAAAAGUGCGCUGUCCUGAAGGAAAGAGAUGUUAUUUAAAGUCUUAAGGAUGUUUAAAUGUGAGGAUACUGGUCCUGGAAGAUCCUUUUCAACCUUUAGGAAGGAGCUGGAUUUUCAGGAAGAAGUCAAGCUCUUCAUACCAAUGAUAAAACUAGAAAAUGUUCCUUCCUGUUUCUCUCCCCUCCUCCCACUCCCUCAUUUAAUCAAUAGCUGGAAAUUUCUGGAGUUUUGCAAUGGAAGAUCAAAUAUUUCUGCAAGAAUUGGCAAAGCUGCUAAGGGCACGAUAAUUACAGUGAGCAACACUCAUGGAAUCAGGCUCUGCAUUGACUCACGUUAUUUCAUUCAAGUGAGGAAUUAAAUUUAUACAAUGGAUUUGUUGAUGACUGAUUUGGUUGUCUAUGUAUUACAAAUGAGAAAGUUACAAAAAUAUCAACAUGCAAACAAUGUAAUCAUGUAUUACAAUUGAUUUUCACUGCAGUGUAUAGGAUUUCAGUUGUUAUUUUCAAUUGCAGGCAAUUUAAACUUAAAUGUUAAGGAAAAUGGGAAAUUCUGACUUUGUGAAGGGAAAGAAGGGACUUCUCAUGCAGAAAAAGCAUCUAAUUGAGAUCUUGGCCAAGACUGGUAAAUAUGUGAUCACAGCAUAGAAAUAGAUUUAUUUACAUAGCACUCUAUCUGAGGGUUCAUAUGGUCCUAAUAUACAUACACAUCAUUUGUAUCUGAAGUAAUUCAAUAAACACUGACCCACCCACAGCUACUUUUAUAAUUUUUGGAAAUAUGAUUGUGCAUUUGCAUACAGCACACAUGCACCUAGAUCCACCUCUCCACAGAUGCAAGUAGACAUGUUUUGGCAAAUGAAUUGUUCAGGUGAAUGUUGCUGGGCCAGUGUCCUGCCCAAAGGCAAUGAGAAGCAGUAAAAUGUCCAGGCUGUUCAGUUCUCAGAAUAUGAAUAAAUCCUUCUCACAUUGUUGAAAAGUCGCUUGGCCAAAUGAUGAGAGGCUAUCACCCUUAACCCUCUUACUGAAUUUGACUAGAUCUGACUACAGCUACAUCCUAACCAAAAAUAGAUUGCCUUCAAUUGCAAUUAAAAGGAUUAUAAUGACUUUCUUUUGAAGAAAAAAAUAACUUCAUGUUGAGAUGUGGUGAUUUAAUAUCCGUGUGCCUUUCCAGUCAAACGUUGCCCACUGGAUUUUCCAGCAUACUGGGAGCAAGGUUGCUCAGAGAUUUCUCUGGAGAGUUUUAAACUCACAUGAGCAAGUAAUUGUUGUGAAGUGUGGGUUGAUGUGUUGGUAGUCCCCAGAAAGCCUCUGUUCUGUCCCCUCAGGCUGAGUAUGGCACAGAGAAGAUAAGAUGUUUAAUGGUGUGGUUUCUGGGCAGCUCUUAUGAUGCACUGAACACUUUUCUUGGAAUAUCAUGAAAAAGACCCUCUUAGCCUGCUCAGCAAUAACUUUAUUGUUCAGUUUUUGCUGAAGGAACUUCAAUUGCUUGCUCAGUAUGAAAGAGAAAGCAAGACUUUCACUGAAUUCACGCCUGUAGGGUGAGAAUUAGAAGUGUGACCACUUAAAAAUUACCCUGAAAAAGAUUUCUUUGAUGAAUAUGACUUUUCUCUGUGCCUUGCUAACAGUGUCAUGUCUGCAUGCUUCGAGCUAUUUAUAAAUGGCAGUGAGCUGUUUCCUUUGACAACCUUGUAAUAAUGUUUGUAAGUUAUAAAAAAAAAAGAGAUUGUGAAAAAUAUAGAUAUUCAUAGA
This is a long non-coding RNA of Numida meleagris (helmeted guineafowl), 2161 nucleotides long. RefSeq lists it as uncharacterized. The record is from RefSeq and is a predicted model, not a curated record. The transcript is spliced from 3 exons. Lineage: Eukaryota; Metazoa; Chordata; Aves; Galliformes; Numididae.